CAGGAUCCUCUGAGGAACUGUUGUUCCCCCAAGGGACUCUAAAGCAGGCUGCAUGCUUCAUUGGCUCUGGCGUUAAGUCCCUGGUACUUCUGGGCUUAGGUAUGUGUUGCUCCACCCUGCGCCUCUGUCUUCACGUCACCUUCCCUUCUCUGCAUCUGUCUCCUUCUCUUUAUGAAGCCUCCUGUCAUUGGAUUUAGAGCCCACCCUAAUCCAGGAAGAUCUCAUCUCAAGAUUCUUAAUUGCAUCUGCAAAGACCCUUUUUCCGAACAAGAUCCCGUUCACAGGCUCUGGGCGGGCAUAUCUUUUAGAGGCCACCAUUCAACCCACUACAGCCUGCAUGGGAGACUGAGAAAUGACAGGCUUUUGGGGACAAUUUACACUUUUAAGCCACAUAUUAUAGUACCAGCUUUCCUGCCGCAGGUGGGGCUGGGAGUCUGGGUCUCUCAUGCCCACAUGGGGCCCAGCCAGAACUUGGCCUACUGAACAAACUACAAAAAUCUCUCUUCUUGUUUCAAUGGAUAAUGCACCUCCCUUGAAGAUCCAUCCUUUAUUUGUCCUUCAGUGGCACCCCAUGGCAAUUGUUCUGAAGUAUUUACUGACAAAAUAUCCCUGCCUGUUGGUUCAUCUUCCAGCUUGUCUCCAUAAGUGACAAUGAUUUGGGUGAGCCAGGGUGGAUUUCUGCAGGCUCCUGGACUCAAGCCUUCCUGAACUCAUCCCCUCACUCUCUCUCCCAAUCUCAGCCUGUGCAUUUAGGUCCUGCCCUGGAAUAUGGUGGGCACGGCCUGACGACUGGAUUGUCCAACAAAACACAGAAAGUGUAGACAAGAGAACAGCAGAAAGUGACGCCUGCAGCCACAGAGAUGUGCUCCCAGUCUCCCUCUUUUCUGACUGCUGGGGGUGCACACCACAGCGAGGCCCAAGGGCUGUGAUGGAGGCCUAGGAUGGAAGGUGGCUGGUCCCUGAAUUACUUCUAGGAGAGGCACCAUCUGCUGAGCAGGAACCCCUGCCUGGGACAGUUGCAAGAACAAGAAAUCAGCUCCUUUUGUGCCAGAACCAGUAUGCAUGUUGAGGUCCAAUCCUACAGUUAGUGAUGUGGUAACAGAAAUGAGCUUUGUGCUUCCAUGCCCUGGGCAACUGCAGGCAGCUGAGGCCCCCAUCUGCAGGUGGUCUCUGCAGGCAGAGGGUUUCUGGUGAAGGGCCCUAUGGGGUUUCUGAUGAGGGCCCCACAGAAACCAGAAUCUCUUCCCUGCUGCUUAUUUCAAAUUCUGCUCGGUUGUCCCUUCCAGGCCAGGCGGGUAAUCUUGCUUGUGGCCACACUCCUCUUCCUGGGACCUGAGCCUGCCCUCCUGCUCCUGAGUAGUUCAUUGUGAUGCUGUCUGCUGUGGCUGUGGAGUGCUACGCGCUGGCCAGCCUGAGGGCGACCUGUACCGCCUUGGCCAAACCCUUUACCCCACUGAGAGAUACCUCCCUCAUCUGCAGCGAGAGUCCCUACCUUGUAGGGCAGUGUGAAGGAUGUCCUGAGAUGGUCAGGACUUAGCACCCUGUAAGCACAAGAGCUGUUCUUGGUGGCGUUAUGAUCACACCCACAGAUAGGGCCUCAGGCAGGCCUCAGUGUCCUCCUGGCUGGCCACGUGCUACGGAUGUCCCCAUGCACUUGAUGUGUCAGCAGCAGAAGGACCUUCAGGAGGAGGCAACGAUGGGAUGAGACGAGGCUCAAAGGAGGAUGUUGCCGCGCAGAGACGUUUCGGGAAUAUGAGGCAGGUCACCACCUAUGAUUCUUGUGGUAGUGGAGGAAUGGUGGCGGCUGUCAUUGUGACACCCACUUUAGAGACAGGAAACUGAGCUUCAGAGAGGGGGAGUCCAGGCCCCACAGCACACAGCCAGGAAAGGGCCGGGCAGAAGGGGCUUUGGGUUUUAACCUAACUCACCCCGACUGCCUGCUUCUUCACCCAGCCAUCAUGGAACGUCUCUGUGCCUCUUCCCUGCUCUCGUGGAGGCCUGGGUCAGGCAGCUGCCCAGAGGCAGACGUGCACUGUGACCCUAGAAGACUGUUCCAGACAGGCCAGCCCAGGCAGAGACAAAACAGGGACCUGCUCCUCAUUGGUGUCACGACCAAAUGCAGGGGAUUUGCUAAGGGAGGCGCAGCCAUGAAUUGGGAGCCAGCUUCGUGCUCUGCCACUCCUUCUUGCUAAUCCCUCGAAAAUCCAAUCAGAGCUGUUUCCCUCCAUGAAACCAACUGGACACAGCACAUACUGGCCGGACCUCUGCCAGCAUGGAGUGGAUCUUUUUUCUGUUUAAAGAACCAGGUUUCAAAUGUUCUUAAUAAAACGUUUAUAUAUAUCAUGCAGGGUGCAAAUAAAUAUUUUAAUAUAAUUGGAAGAAUGUAGAGAAUUGUAAAAAGUUAUGGAAGUUUUACUUCUGAUUGGCCAAGACUCAAUAAACUCUGGUUUGAUGUACUCUAAUUUAUAGGCGUGCAAAGCCAACUCUUUGGCAUCAGAGAGGCCGUUAACGUUGUAAUGAUGUUUAAACGCUGACAAAUGAGCUGCUUGGGCGGCACCUUCAGCCCUGAGAAUGGAACUGUUGGAGCUGGAGGACUUGCCUGUCCCCAGCUUUCUCCCUUCCUCCCGUGCUGGUGGAGCAGGUUAAGGGCAGGAGGACUGUUCAUUGGGGCGACUGCUCCCCAUCGGUUGAGGGGAGGGCACAAAGGGGACCCAUGGCUUCUUUUUCACUGUUGUCCCUAAUUAUGGUCUUUCUCAUUAAAAUAACAAGGACCAUUUCUGCUAGAAACGCUGACACAUGUUUUUACUUUUCUGGGCCGAUGGAAACCACAUGUAGAAUCCAUUCCUUCCUUUUUUCCCUCCAAAAUGCAAAUGGAAGAGCUGGUCCAGGGGGUCCCCGGUUGCCCAGCCCUGAACAGAGGCUUGGGGAAGCCCCCUACUCCCACG
Molecule: long non-coding RNA, 2945 nt
Filed under: Homo sapiens (human)
Lineage: Eukaryota; Metazoa; Chordata; Mammalia; Primates; Hominidae
Description: HSALNT0049546
Source: RNAcentral